UUAGAUCCUGCGUGAGCCAGGCCUAAGGAUUCAGUUCCCUAACUCACGUUCACCAGGGUGAAUAUUAAAUGCUUUGCAAAGGCCAAGUGCACCGCCAACGCCCUCACUAAUAGGAUUUCAAAUGCUACGGUUAUCCAGGAAGUUGGCAGGGAGAGAGAGCUGCGUGGAGCUGUUGUAACAGAUUCUCAUUUUGGACAGAUUGGA
Long non-coding RNA from Fukomys damarensis (Damara mole-rat), 204 nucleotides. RefSeq lists it as uncharacterized. The transcript has 3 exons. Lineage: Eukaryota; Metazoa; Chordata; Mammalia; Rodentia; Bathyergidae. The record is from RefSeq and is a predicted model, not a curated record.